CUUCGGUGACCUUAGAUCAUCAUGAUAAUCUUGACGCAGUGGGCUGCCAGUCCUGCGCAAGUAGUCUGGCCGAUCUCGACCAGAUCCCGAAUGGAACCUACUAGGGUUGGCAUUGGCGUUUCCAUAAUGCAUCACAUGCUACCGGUGCCAUGCGAAGUCAUCCUCUUCCCUAAAUUUCCUCUUCAGUGAGGAUGGUGCCCCUUCCGAGGGAACCCAAGGGCCAUCAAGCCUGAGGGAAGCCCAGAAGUCGUGCUGGGUGCCCAGGCC
Molecule: long non-coding RNA, 267 nt
Filed under: Elaeis guineensis (African oil palm)
Lineage: Eukaryota; Viridiplantae; Streptophyta; Magnoliopsida; Arecales; Arecaceae
Description: long non-coding RNA (EGUI_LNC071298)
Source: RNAcentral